UACAGGGGGGGCAAGCGUUGUUCGGAAUUACUGGGCGUAAAGGGCCAGUAGGCGGCCAACUAAGUCACACGUGAAAUCCCCAGGCUUAACCUGGGAACUGCGUGUGAUACUGGAUGGCUUGAAUUCGGGAGAGGGAUGCAGAAUUCCAGGUGUAGCGGUGAAAUGCGUAGAUAUCUGGAGGAAUACCGGUGGCGAAGGCGGCAUCCUGGACCGACAUUGACGCUGAGGAGCGAAAGCUAGGGGAGCAAACGGG
This 253-nucleotide ribosomal RNA is filed under the name uncultured bacterium. Its description in RNAcentral is "partial 16S ribosomal RNA". It matches the Rfam family "Bacterial small subunit ribosomal RNA", at positions 524 to 776 of the family's 1533-position model. The record is from RNAcentral.